Molecule: ribosomal RNA, 1409 nt
Filed under: metagenome
Description: bacterial LSU rRNA
Rfam family: Bacterial large subunit ribosomal RNA
Source: RNAcentral
UUAAGCGUUUGAGAGAUGGAGUGACACAGUAGGAUAAGCUAACCGUACUGUUGGUUAUGUACGGCUAAGCAUUGAGGCAGUCUAAAUAGGCAAAUCCGUUUAGACAAUGCUAGGAUGUGAUGGGGAAGCCCUUCGGGGCGAAGUAGCUGAUUUCACACUGUCAAGAAAAGCUUCUAUCGAGUUUAAAGGCGCCCGUACCGUAAACCGACACAGGUGGGUGAGGAGAGUAUCCUAAGGCCAGCGAGAGAACUAUUGUUAAGGAACUCGGCAAAAUGACCCCGUAACUUAGGGAGAAGGGGUGCCUGUCUAUGACAGGCCGCAGAGAAUAGGCCCAAGCGACUGUUUACCAAAAACACAGGUUUCUGCUAAGUCGCAAGACGAUGUAUAGGAGCUGACGCCUGCCCGGUGCUGGAAGGUUAAGGGGAACUGUUAGAGCAAUCGAAGCAGUGAACUUAAGCCCCAGUAAACGGCGGCCGUAACAAUAACGGUCCUAAGGUAGCGAAAUUCCUUGUCGGGUAAGUUCCGACCCGCACGAAAGGCGUAACGAUUUGGGCACUGUCUCAACAAUAGACUCGGUGAAAUUGUAAUCCCGGUGAAGAUGCCGGGUACCUGCGACAGGACGGAAAGACCCCAUGGAGCUUUACUGUAGCUUGACGUUGGGUCUUGGUACUACAUGUACAGGAUAGGUGGGAGACUAUGAAGCAUGGACGCCAGUCUGUGUGGAGUCAUCCUUGGGGUACCACCCUUGUAGUACUGGGAUCCUAACCAUAGGCCUUGAAUCAGGUCUUGGAACACCGUCAGGUGGGCAGUUUGACUGGGGCGGUCGCCUCCUAAAAAGUAACGGAGGCGCUCAAAGGUUUCCUCAGCACGGUCGGAAAUCGUGCGAAGAGUGUAAAGGCAAAAGGAAGCUUGAUUGCAAGACAUACAGGUCGAGCAAGGACGAAAGUCGGACUUAGUGAUCCGGUGGUACCGCACGGAAGGGCCAUCGCUCAACGGAUAAAAGCUACCCUGGGGAUAACAGGCUUAUCUCCCCCAAGAGUCCACAUCGACGGGGAGGUUUGGCACCUCGAUGUCGGCUCAUCACAUCCUGGGGCUGUAGUAGGUCCCAAGGGUUGGGCUGUUCGCCCAUUAAAGUGGUACGCGAGCUGGGUUCAGAACGUCGUGAGACAGUUCGGUCCCUAUCCGUCGCAGGCGUAGGAAAUUUGAGAAGACCUGUCCUUAGUACGAGAGGACCGGGAUGGACGUACCUCUGGUGUACCAGUUGUUCUGCCAAGGGCAUGGCUGAGUAGCUAUGUACGGAAUGGAUAAGCGCUGAAAGCAUCUAAGCGCGAAGCCAACUUCAAGAUAAGAUUUCCCACCGUAAGGGUAAGACCCCAGGAAGACUACCUGGUUGAUAGGUCGAAGGUGUA